RNAcentral lists this ribosomal RNA (3303 nucleotides) under Triticum aestivum (bread wheat). Its description in RNAcentral is "partial small subunit ribosomal RNA". Lineage: Eukaryota; Viridiplantae; Streptophyta; Magnoliopsida; Poales; Poaceae. The record is from RNAcentral.
AUGAUGCGGCGCUGCGGGUGGCUUUCGCUUCUCUGCCGCCCCCGCCGGGGUGCCCGCGCCGCCGUCUUGCCGCCGCCCAACCCAGAUCCACCCCCUCCCGAGCCCAAGGGAGAGGAGAAUCACAGCGCUUCUGACAAAGUUAUCAUGGAGAACAUUCUACCAAACGGCGAUUUUUCUGAAGAUCUAUGUUUAUGGCAUUCUAACGGUUGCCAUGCGUUUGUUGCCGUUGAAGGGUCUGGUUACCAUAAUGGUAUAAAGCCACAUUCAGGGUCUAAAUAUGCUGUAGUUACUCAUCGCACACAGACUUGGCAAGGGCUUGAGCAGGUCUUAGAAAACAUUAGUGCCGGUACCAAAUACAUUGUUACUGCCUAUGUUAGAGUUCAUGGGGAAUUUCAUGAGCCAGUUGGAGUCCAGGCCACGCUAAAACUUGAGGGAGAGGGCUCUCCUACCAACUACCAUUCCGUUGCAAGGAUUUUGGCCUCACAAGAAUGCUGGGAGAAGUUGGAAGGUUCGUUUGAGCUUACAACUAUACCAAGCCGUUUGGUGUUUUAUCUUGAAGGCCCCCCUGCUGGUGUAGACUUGCUCAUAGAUUCAGUUACCAUUUCCUGCAAGAAAGCAGAGAGCAAGACUUCUUCAUUGAUUGGUGGAACAGCAAACAUCAUUUUAAAUUGUGAUUUUUCCGAAGGCCUUCAUUCAUGGCAUCCUAUCUGCUGCCAUGCGUAUGUGGCAUCACAAUGGUCCGGUUUCCUUGAUGGUAUUAGAGGGGACUCGGGAGAGAAUUAUGCUGUUGUUUCAAAGAGAACUGAACCCUGGCAAGGUCUUGAGCAAGAUAUUACAGAUAGAGUAUCUGCUGGUACAGUUUAUGCAGUUUCGGCGCGUGUUAGAGUUGAUGGGAAUAUCCAUGGCAAAGCUGAAGUUAAAGCAACCCUGAGGUUGCAAAAUCCAGAUGGAUCAACACACUACAAUCCUAUUGGAAGAGUAUUAGCCUCAAAAGAAAAGUGGGAGAAGUUGGAAGGUUCCUUUUCUUUGACAAAUAUGCCAAAAUGCGUGGUUUUUUACAUUGAAGGGCCUCCUGCUGGGGCGGAUCUUAUUAUUGAUUCUGUUACUAUUGCUAGGUCUGAACAUAAGCAGCCAAAGGAAGUAAAGUCACCAAGUGGAAUCGAGACUAUUAUCAAGAAUCCUCAGUUUGAAGAAGGGUUAAGCAAUUGGUCUGGACGAGGAUGUAAUAUCAGCAGGCAUGAGUUCACUGCAUAUGGGAAUGUAAAGCCUGUAAAUGGCAGCUACUUUGCUUCAGCAACUGGACGGGUUCACAGUUGGAAUGGCAUACAGCAAGAUAUCACAGGCAGAGUGCAGAGAAAAGUUUCUUACGAGAUUAGUUCUCCUGUUCGCAUAUUUGGCAGUGCUAAUGAGACUGAGGUUCGUGCUACUUUGUGGGUACAAGAAUAUGGCCGUGAACAAUAUCUAUGCAUUUCAAAAAACCAGGCCUCUGAUAAGCGCUGGACAGAUUUGAAAGGAAAGUUUAUCCUUCAUGCUCCCUUCUCCAAAGUUGUCCUCUUCAUAGAGGGGCCACCAGCAGGAAUUGACAUCCUUGUAGAUGGCCUUGUCCUAUCUCCUGCAAGAAAACUUCAUGCUGCUCCAUGCCCAAAAAUUGAGAAUGUUCUGUAUGGAGCUAAUAUCAUGCAGAAUAGCGCUUGCUCUCGUGGUCUUGCUGGGUGGAGUCCUAUGGGUUCAUGUCGAUUGAGUAUCCAUACCGAAUCACCCCAUAUGCUAUCUUCCAUCCUGAAGGACCCCUCUAAUCAGAAACAUAUAAGUGGUCGCUAUAUCCUUGCUACAAACCGCACUGAUGUGUGGAUGGGCCCUUCUCAGGUGAUAACAGACAAGCUAAAGCUACACACUACUUACAGAGUCUCUGCCUGGGUACGAGCUGGCUCUGGAGGACAUGGCCGUCACCAUGUCAAUGUUUGUCUUGGUGUAGAUGACCAAUGGGUUAAUGGUGGGCAAAUAGAAGCCGAUGGGGAUCAAUGGUAUGAAAUCAAAGGAGCAUUCAAGCUUGAAAAGAAGCCAUCUAAAGUUAUUGCAUAUGUUCAGGGUCCCCCUCCAGGUGUUGAUAUCCGAGUCAUGGGUCUCCAAAUUUAUCCGGUUGAUAGAAAAGCACGUUUUGAGUAUCUCAAGGACAAAUCAGAUAAGGUAAGGAAGCGUGAUAUUGUUCUGAAGUUCGAAGGAUUAGAUGCUGCGAAUGUUUUCGGUUCAGCUCUCAGGAUACAACAGACUGAGAACAGUUUUGCAUUUGGGUCAUGCAUAAACCGAAGUAACAUUGAGAAUGAGGAUCUUGCUGAUUUCUUCGUGAAGAAUUUUAAUUGGGCUGUAUUUGAGAAUGAGCUGAAGUGGUACUGGACAGAGGCGGAACAAGGGAAGAUAAAUUAUAAAGACUCUGACGAGUUGCUUAAAUUCUGUCAGAAACAUAACAAACAAGUUCGCGGCCACUGCUUAUUCUGGGAAGUGGAGGAUUCAGUGCAGCCAUGGCUUCGAUCACUGCAUGGACACCACUUGAUGGCUGCUGUACAAGGUCGUUUACAGAGCCUGUUGUCAAGGUACAAAGGCCAGUUUAGACAUCAUGAUGUAAACAACGAGAUGCUUCAUGGAUCUUUUUACCAAGAUAGGCUUGGAAGGGACAUCAGAGCUCACAUGUUCAGAGAAGCCCAUAAGCUUGACCCUUCAGCAGUCCUCUUUGUCAACGACUACAACGUCGAAGAUGGGUGCGACUCGAAAUCCACCCCAGAAAAGUUUGUGGAGCAGAUCGUCGAUCUCCAAGACCGGGGCGCCCCAGUUGGUGGGAUCGGCGUGCAAGGUCAUAUCAGCCAUCCUGUGGGAGAUAUCAUCUGCGAUUCUCUAGACAAGCUAGCUAUACUGGGUCUCCCUAUCUGGAUCACUGAGCUGGAUGUCUCGGCGGAGAACGAACACAUCCGAGCGGACGAUCUCGAGGUGUGCCUCCGUGAAUGCUUCGCCCAUGCCGCUGUGGAGGGGGUGGUCCUCUGGGGGUUCUGGGAGACGUUCAUGUUUCGGAAUCAUGCUCACCUGGUCGAUGCUGAUGGAACAAUCAACGAGACCGGCAAAAGGUACCUUGCCCUGAAGCAGGAGUGGUUGACCCAAACGGAUGGUGACAUCGAUCACCAUGGGGAGUUCAAAUUCAGAGGCUACCAUGGGUCAUACACCGUAGAAGUAGCGACGCCCUCGGGGAAGGUGACACGGUCAUUUGUUGUUGACAAGGAGAACCCUGUGCAGGUGGUUACCUUGAACAUUUAG